GAGUUUGAUCCUGGCUCAGAUUGAACGCUGGCGGCAGGCCUAACACAUGCAAGUCGAGCGGAAACGAGUUAUCAGAACCUUCGGGGGACGAUAACGGCGUCGAGCGGCGGACGGGUGAGUAAUGCCUAGGAAAUUGCCCUGAUGUGGGGGAUAACCAUUGGAAACGAUGGCUAAUACCGCAUGAUGCCUACGGGCCAAAGAGGGGGACCUUCGGGCCUCUCGCGUCAGGAUAUGCCUAGGUGGGAUUAGCUAGUUGGUGAGGUAAGGGCUCACCAAGGCGACGAUCCCUAGCUGGUCUGAGAGGAUGAUCAGCCACACUGGAACUGAGACACGGUCCAGACUCCUACGGGAGGCAGCAGUGGGGAAUAUUGCACAAUGGGCGCAAGCCUGAUGCAGCCAUUCCGCGUGUGUGAAGAAGGCCUUGGGGUGGAAAGCACU
This 438-nucleotide ribosomal RNA is filed under the name Vibrio sp. D77. RNAcentral's name for it is "bacterial SSU rRNA". It matches the Rfam family "Bacterial small subunit ribosomal RNA", at positions 9 to 434 of the family's 1533-position model. Lineage: Bacteria; Pseudomonadati; Pseudomonadota; Gammaproteobacteria; Vibrionales; Vibrionaceae. The record is from RNAcentral.